RNAcentral lists this ribosomal RNA (403 nucleotides) under bacterium. RNAcentral's name for it is "partial 16S ribosomal RNA". It matches the Rfam family "Bacterial small subunit ribosomal RNA", at positions 355 to 776 of the family's 1533-position model. The record is from RNAcentral.
UGGGGAAUCUUGCACAAUGGGGGAAACCCUGAUGCAGCGACGCCGCGUGAGCGAUGAAGGUUUUCGAAUCGUAAAGCUCUGUCCUAUGGGAAGAUAAUGACGGUACCAUAGGAGGAAGCCCCGGCUAACUACGUGCCAGCAGCCGCGGUAAUACGUAGGGGGCGAGCGUUGUCCGGAAUUACUGGGCGUAAAGGGUUCGCAGGCGGCAUGACAAGUCCGAUGUAAAAGGCGAAAGCUCAACUUUCGUAAGCAUCGGAAACUGUCAAGCUUGAGUGAAGGAGAGGCAAGUGGAAUUCCUAGUGUAUCGGUGGAAUGCGUAGAUAUUAGGAGGAAUACCGGUGGCGAAGGCGACUUGCUGGACUUCAACUGACGCUGAGGAACGAAAGCGUGGGUAGCAAACAGG